This 441-nucleotide ribosomal RNA is filed under the name uncultured bacterium. RNAcentral's name for it is "bacterial SSU rRNA". It matches the Rfam family "Bacterial small subunit ribosomal RNA", at positions 29 to 465 of the family's 1533-position model. The record is from RNAcentral.
AACGAACGCUGGCGGCGUGCUUAACACAUGCAAGUCGAACGCGAAAGGGAUUUCGAUCCUGAGUAGAGUGGCGCACGGGUGAGUAACGCGUAAGUUAUCUACCCCUCCAUCUGGAAUAACUCACCGAAAGGUAGUGCUAAUAACCGGAGUACGUUGGAAACAAGAAAGGUGGCCUCUUCUAUGCUACCGUGGAGGGAUGAGCUUGCGUACCAUUAGCUAGUUGGUAGGGUAAUGGCCUACCAAGGCAACGAUGGUUAGCGGGUCGUGAGAGGAUGAUCCGCCGACACUGGAACGUGGAACACGGACCAGACUCCUACGGGAGGCAGCAGUGAGGAAUAUUGCGCAAUGGGGGGAAACCCUGACGCAGCGACGCCGCGUGGAUGAUGAAGGCCUUUGGGUCGUAAAAUCCUGUCAGAUGGAAAGAAAUGUACAUGUGCUAAU